Molecule: ribosomal RNA, 445 nt
Filed under: uncultured Bradyrhizobiaceae bacterium
Lineage: Bacteria; Pseudomonadati; Pseudomonadota; Alphaproteobacteria; Hyphomicrobiales; Nitrobacteraceae
Description: bacterial SSU rRNA
Rfam family: Bacterial small subunit ribosomal RNA
Source: RNAcentral
CUUCCUACGGGCGGCUGCAGUGGGGAAUAUUGGACAAUGGGGGCAACCCUGAUCCAGCCAUGCCGCGUGAGUGAUGAAGGCCCUAGGGUUGUAAAGCUCUUUUGUGCGGGAAGAUAAUGACGGUACCGCAAGAAUAAGCCCCGGCUAACUUCGUGCCAGCAGCCGCGGUAAUACGAAGGGGGCUAGCGUUGCUCGGAAUCACUGGGCGUAACGGGUGCGUAGGCGGGUCUUUAAGUCAGGGGUGAAAUCCUGGAGCUCAACUCCAGAACUGCCUUUGAUACUGAAGAUCUUGAGUUCGGGAGAGGUGAGUGGAACUGCGAGUGUAGAGGUGAAAUUCGUAGAUAUUCGCAAGAACACCAGUGGCGAAGGCGGCUCACUGGCCCGAUACUGACGCUGAGGCACGAAAGCGUGGGGAGCAAACAGGAUUAGAUACCCCUGUAGUCAU